AUCCGGCUGAAAAGUCCCAAAUAGGACGAAAUGAGCAUUCUGGAU
Molecule: non-coding RNA, 45 nt
Filed under: Trichobilharzia regenti
Lineage: Eukaryota; Metazoa; Platyhelminthes; Trematoda; Strigeidida; Schistosomatidae
Source: RNAcentral